AGUGAACGCUGGCGGUAGGCCUAACACAUGCAAGUCGAACGGCAGCACAUUAAGAGCUUGCUCUUACGGGUGGCGAGUGGCGGACGGGUGAGGCAUACAUCGGAAUCUACUUUUUCGUGGGGGAUAACGUAGGGAAACUUACGCUAAUACCGCAUACGACCUACGGGUGAAAGCAGGGGAUCUUCGGACCUUGCGCGAUUGAAUGAGCCGAUGUCGGAUUAGCUAGUUGGCGGGGUAAAGGCCCACCAAGGCGACGAUCCGUAGCUGGUCUGAGAGGAUGAUCAGCCACACUGGAACUGAGACACGGUCCAGACUCCUACGGGAGGCAGCAGUGGGGAAUAUUGGACAAUGGGCGCAAGCCUGAUCCAGCCAUACCGCGUGGGUGAAGAAGGCCUUCGGGUUGUAAAGCCCUUUUGUUGGGAAAGAAAAGCAGCAGGUUAAUACCCCGCUGUUCUGACGGUACCCAAAGAAUAAGCACCGGCUAACUUCGUG
This 492-nucleotide ribosomal RNA is filed under the name uncultured bacterium. RNAcentral's name for it is "partial 16S ribosomal RNA". It matches the Rfam family "Bacterial small subunit ribosomal RNA", at positions 29 to 507 of the family's 1533-position model. The record is from RNAcentral.